This 406-nucleotide ribosomal RNA is filed under the name uncultured bacterium. RNAcentral's name for it is "partial 16S ribosomal RNA". It matches the Rfam family "Bacterial small subunit ribosomal RNA", at positions 30 to 526 of the family's 1533-position model. The record is from RNAcentral.
AUUGAACGCUGGCGGCAGGCCUAACACAUGCAAGUCGAACGAGUGGCGGACGGGUGAGUAAUGUCUGGGAAACUGCCCGAUGGAGGGGGAUAACUACUGGAAACGGUAGCUAAUACCGCAUACCAUCGGAUGUGCCCAGAUGGGAUUAGCUAGUAGGUGGGGUAACGGCUCACCUAGGCGACGAUCCCUAGCUGGGCUGAGAGGAUGACCAGCCAACCUGGAAGUGAGCCAUGGUCCAGACUCCUACGGGAGGCAGCAGGGGGGAAUAUUGCACAAUGGGCGUAAGCCUGAUGCAGCCAUGCCGCGUGUAUGAAGAAGGCCUUGGGGUUGUAAAGUACUUGCAGCGAGGCGGCGUUACCCGCAGAAGACGCACCGGCUAACUCCGUGCCAGCAGCCGCGGUAAUUC